UCUCUUCACACAUCACAGGAGCUGUGCCUGGACGUCCUCUGCCUGCUCACGCGGGUUCAGAGUUGAUGACCACGGCAGCUGAAUAACUCAUGGAACCGUCCUCCUUUUACGUGACGUUCAUCCUAUUCACAGCAUCCCAGAACAAGUCGUCUGAUACCAUGCAUUUUCGGCCGUAAAAAGCUUUGAGAAUGGUGGCCAGGCACGGGCGUUAUAUUCCACCUCUGUUUGCCGAGAUGAUUCAUCGUUGAGGCUCAGAAUAACCAUAACUAGCCUACAUUU
RNAcentral lists this small RNA (279 nucleotides) under Pestalotiopsis fici W106-1. RNAcentral's name for it is "A. fumigatus sRNA Afu_309". It matches the Rfam family "A. fumigatus sRNA Afu_309". Lineage: Eukaryota; Fungi; Ascomycota; Sordariomycetes; Amphisphaeriales; Sporocadaceae. The record is from Rfam by way of RNAcentral.